AAUAACCAUAAUGAUAAACGGACUGUGGACAGGAGUGGGAAUAUCAUUCCUGGUACUGUUGUUGAUUCAAAAAUUUGCCACCCGACCGAGUUUGAUUUUUACUUGUGCAGUCACGCAGGGAUACAGGGAACGAGCCGACCGGCUCAUUACCAUGUUCUUUGGGAUGAUAACAAUUUCACCGCCGACACACUGCAGACUCUUACAAAUAAUUUAUGCUACACUUAUGCGAGAUGCACCCGCUCUGUUUCAAUUGUGCCACCUGCUUAUUAUGCACACUUGGCUGCGUUCCGUGCUCGGCUCUACAUGUCGCCUGAUACUUCAGAUGGGGGCUCGGUUGCUAGCGGUGCACAAGGUGGCCGAGGUGGGGUGCAGCGCAGCACAAGGGCUACAGGAAAUACUAAGGUUAGGGAGCUACCGGAGCUGAAGGAUAAUGUCAAGAGGGUUAUGUUUUACUGCUGA
This 459-nucleotide unclassified non-coding RNA is filed under the name Hevea brasiliensis (rubber tree). The record is from RNAcentral. Lineage: Eukaryota; Viridiplantae; Streptophyta; Magnoliopsida; Malpighiales; Euphorbiaceae.